AAGCUCGUAGUUGAAUUUCGGGAUCAGCAUAUCGGUCAUGCCUUCUUGGCUUGCACUGGUGCUGUUGAUCUCCCCCUUCUAGCGAAUCGUUAUGUCUUUAAUUAGGCGUAACGGGGAACUAGGACUGUUACUUUGAAAAAAUUAGAGUGUUUAAAGCAGGCUUUACGCUUGAAUACAUUAGCAUGGAAUAAUGAAAUAGGACGGCAUGAUCCUAUUUUGUUGGUUUCUAGGGUCACCGUAAUGAUUAAUAGGGAUAGUUGG
Molecule: ribosomal RNA, 261 nt
Filed under: uncultured Glomus
Lineage: Eukaryota; Fungi; Glomeromycota; Glomeromycetes; Glomerales; Glomeraceae
Description: partial 18S ribosomal RNA
Rfam family: Eukaryotic small subunit ribosomal RNA
Source: RNAcentral